RNAcentral lists this ribosomal RNA (414 nucleotides) under uncultured microorganism. RNAcentral's name for it is "bacterial SSU rRNA". It matches the Rfam family "Archaeal small subunit ribosomal RNA", at positions 459 to 872 of the family's 1478-position model. The record is from RNAcentral.
CAGCAGCCGCGGUAAUACCGGCGGCCCGAGUGGCGGCCACUAUUAUUGGGCUUAAAGCGUCCGUAGCCGGGUUGGUUAGUCUCCCGGGAAAUCUGGCCGCUUAACGGUCAGAAUUCCGGGAGAUACUGCCAGCCUAGGGACCGGGAGAGGCCGAGGGUAUUCCCGGAGUAGGGGUGAAAUCCUAUAAUCCCGGGAGGACCACCUGUGGCGAAGGCGCUCGGCUGGAACGGGUCCGACGGUGAGGGACGAAGGCCAGGGGAGCAAACCGGAUUAGAUACCCGGGUAGUCCUGGCUGUAAACGAUGCGUACUUUGUGUCGGACAAGCUAUGAGCUUGUCCGGUGCCGGAGGGAAACCGUUAAGUCCGCCGCCUGGGGAGUACGGCCGCAAGGCUGAAACUUAAAGGAAUUGGCGGG